GCAUAGCUAGUUUAUUUAAGAACAUUUGAUUUGCAUUCAGAAAGAGGGGCUCCCGCUAUCCA
Molecule: transfer RNA, 62 nt
Filed under: Syllis sp. JYC-2022
Lineage: Eukaryota; Metazoa; Annelida; Polychaeta; Phyllodocida; Syllidae
Description: tRNA-Ala
Source: RNAcentral